GUGGAUGUAGCUCAGCUGGUAGAGCCCCGGGUUGUGAUCCCGGUGGUCGUGGGUUCAAGCCCCAUCAUCCACCCCA
Molecule: transfer RNA, 76 nt
Filed under: Pseudomonadales bacterium
Lineage: Bacteria; Pseudomonadati; Pseudomonadota; Gammaproteobacteria; Pseudomonadales
Also listed under: 1 other name
Description: tRNA-His
Rfam family: tRNA
About the family: Transfer RNA (tRNA) molecules are approximately 80 nucleotides in length. Their secondary structure includes four short double-helical elements and three loops (D, anti-codon, and T loops).
Source: RNAcentral